Molecule: long non-coding RNA, 380 nt
Organism: Lepidothrix coronata (blue-crowned manakin)
Lineage: Eukaryota; Metazoa; Chordata; Aves; Passeriformes; Pipridae
Exons: 3
Source: RefSeq, a predicted model, not a curated record
GAUUGACCGGCACUAGGAGAGUAUGGAGUCACCUUUGUGACUCUCCUUCUUCAGGCAUUUGGCUGCAACCUGGAAGGAAGGGAGGAGAUGCUCCUCCAGCACCAGGUCAGAGCCAUGUCAUAGCCCAAAGCUGCAAGCAAGGACUGCCCCAGGGAAAUCAAAGGAGAAAGAAGAUGAUUUGGUGAUCCCAGCCUGGCUCUCCAGCAUCAGGCCAUCAUCCACAAGAUCGAGCACUGAGUGUCCAGCAUCACCCAAAGUUGAACAAGUGUCCUGAUGAGACAGAAAAAAAGAAAAAUCAAAGGGAGGGAAGCAACACCGGAGCCACGAAAAACUCUUCACUUCUGAUUUAAUAUUCGGCGCUGCCAACUUAAAACCCGGGG